RNAcentral lists this ribosomal RNA (253 nucleotides) under uncultured bacterium. RNAcentral describes it as "partial 16S ribosomal RNA". It matches the Rfam family "Bacterial small subunit ribosomal RNA", at positions 524 to 776 of the family's 1533-position model. The record is from RNAcentral.
UACGUAGGGGGCAAGCGUUGUCCGGAAUCAUUGGGCGUAAAGAGCGUGUAGGCGGCUCGGUAAGUCCGCUGUGAAAGUCCAGGGCUCAACCCUGGAAUGCCGGUGGAAACUGUCGAGCUAGAGUCCGGAAGAGGCGAGUGGAAUUCCUGGUGUAGCGGUGAAAUGCGCAGAUAUCAGGAGGAACAUCAAUGGCGAAGGCAGCUCGCUGGGACGGUACUGACGCUGAGACGCGAAAGCGUGGGGAGCAAACAGG